AACUUUCAACAACGGAUCUCUUGGUUCUGGCAUCGAUGAAGAACGCAGCAAAAUGCGAUAAGUAAUGUGAAUUGCAGAAUUCAGUGAAUCAUCGAAUCUUUGGACGCACAUUGCGCCCGCCAGUAUUCUGGCGGGCAUGCCUGUUCGAGCGUCAUUU
RNAcentral lists this ribosomal RNA (157 nucleotides) under Fusarium oxysporum. RNAcentral's name for it is "5.8S ribosomal RNA". It matches the Rfam family "5.8S ribosomal RNA". Rfam says of the family: 5.8S ribosomal RNA (5.8S rRNA) is a component of the large subunit of the eukaryotic ribosome. Lineage: Eukaryota; Fungi; Ascomycota; Sordariomycetes; Hypocreales; Nectriaceae. The record is from RNAcentral.